RNAcentral lists this ribosomal RNA (430 nucleotides) under Acidobacteriota bacterium. Its description in RNAcentral is "Acidobacteria bacterium partial 16S ribosomal RNA". It matches the Rfam family "Bacterial small subunit ribosomal RNA", at positions 355 to 776 of the family's 1533-position model. Lineage: Bacteria; Pseudomonadati; Acidobacteriota. The record is from RNAcentral.
UGGGGAAUAUUGGACAAUGGGCGCAAGCCUGAUCCAGCCAUGCCGCGUGUGUGAAGAAGGCCUUUUGGUUGUAAAGCACUUUAAGCGAGGAGGAGGCUACUUGGAUUAAUACUCUAGGAUAGUGGACGCUACUCGCAGAAUAAGCACCGGCUAACUCUGUGCCAGCAGCCGCGGUAAUACAGAGGGUGCGAGCGUUAAUCGGAUUUACUGGGCGUAAAGCGUUCGUAGGCGGCUUCUUAAGUCGGAUGUGAAAUCCCUGAGCUUAACUUAGGAAUUGCAUUCGAUACUGGGAAGCUAGAGUAUGGGAGAGGAUGGUAGAAUUCCAGGUGUAGCGGUGAAGUGCAUAGAGAUAUGGAGGAAUACCGAUGGCGAAGGCAGCCAUCUGGCCUAAUACUGACGCUGAGGUACGAAAGCAUGGGGAGCAAACAGG